CUGACUAGCAGUGGGGAAGUGUGUCUUUUGGAGAUUCAUAGUGAGCUCAGGAUACAGCAGAACUUCAGAAAGAUGCAUGCCUGCUGCCCUGCUGGAUUGGACAACCAACUUUUUGAUGCAAGGUAUUCUGUGUUGUUAGAUGGCCCACAGCACCCAAGAAAUUAUUAAUGCAUAUACUCUGGACAGGACCAAGACAACUUGCAAGAUUUAUAAUAUUUAUUUUUUCAGCACAUUGAAAGAUUAUUUCUUCAACUCAGGACCUAUGAUGGUUUUAGUUGUGAUUUUCUUAAAGCUUCUUUAAUUCACUACCAUUUCACAGGUGUUGUGGUUUUUUUUUUAGAUUCUUUUGCUUACUUUUGGACCCAUAUGGAUUAAUUUCCAGUUGAUACAAUCAUAAUCAGGCUAUCUGAAUGCUAAUCUUUUUGUACUGCAUUGCUUUCCACUGUCUUCAUUGUUAACCUAGGUUAACCUCACUGCCACAGCUAUCCUUGCUUGUGUCUAAUUUACCCCCUUUUUUUGUUCUGCUACUGUGUUCAUUACUUCUCAGCUAGCCUACUGCACCUAAAAUAACUUAUCAGCUGUGUUCCUUUACAAUUAAGGAAAAAAAAAUCCCUCCUACAUCACUCAUGGACGAUAAAAAUGGCCUUGUAUCAAGUUGACAAUUUAUUGCUUGUUUAUUCUCCUUUGUUUAUGUACAUUUAUCUCACUACAUCUUGAAGCAUUUAUUUUGUUGUUAAAAAAAUAAUUUUGUAUUUGAAUCUUUUGACAUGUAAUCUUCUCUUGAAAUAAUAUUGAAAAAACCCUGAUGGUUUCAAAAGAUCAAAUUCUGACCCCUGUAAUUAUACAACCCACCUGAUAUAACUUAGUGGUUUCUCACAAGGAAUAUGUAAUAGUGUAAACAAACAAAAUCACAAAUGCCGUAACGCUUUUGCCUUUGGAGAAAAAAGUGCAUGAAGGAAAAAUAGUAUAGAUGAGCCUAAACUGCAGUAUUUGUGCCCAGUGUUGUAAGUACGUAAACAUGCCUAUUUGUACACCAUUCAAGCAGAAAUGCAAAGAGAGCAUUACAUAAACCCUGCAUUACCAGCUAAAAAUAAAUAAACAAAUGAAAAAAAAACAAAAAAAACAAAAAAUCAAACCCCAUACGAAGAAGUUAUACUAAGAAGGAAGUAACUCCAAGACAAAAAGACAAUGUUAAAUUAAAGUAUGCAAAGUGAUUCUUCUCUCUAGUGGAAGAACUAUGACUCACCAACUUAAUGAUCUUUGGAGUUAGAAUUUCAACACCCUUCCACUUUCCUUCCGCUUUAUCAGAAUUUCAUCUCUUUGUACAGUGCUCUUUCAAAACUUUUUAGCAUGGAACUAACUAACAUUAAGCAAGCAUCUGUGCUCCAAUAAAGAAUAUCACUGCCUACCA
Molecule: non-coding RNA, 1411 nt
Organism: Meleagris gallopavo (turkey)
Lineage: Eukaryota; Metazoa; Chordata; Aves; Galliformes; Phasianidae
Source: RefSeq, a predicted model, not a curated record